GUGAUGUAAAAUUGUUUUUAACUUUUUUUUUUUUACUUAUACAUGUAAAAAAUUAUAUAACAAGGAAAUUUAUAAAAAUGUAUAUAUUUCUAAGUAAUUUCAUAUAAAAUUUACAUGCCAAUUAAAUUAUUUUUUACGGAAUUUAAUGAUUUGUACUAGAAUUGGUUUUUUACUGUUUUUGUACAUAUAUGCUUAGAAAUGUAUGAAUCCAUAAGUAAUGGGGUGGCAGUGGCAAGAGUACCAUCACAACAGAUACUGAAUCUGUUUCUUCGACCCCACCAAAUUCCGUAGCCAGCUAAGCUGAGACAAUUGCAUUUAUAGAGCUGAUGAGAUGACUUUAAACAACUAGCCUAGGUACUAAUUAAAUCACCCUAUUUGCAUGGUCCCCCAUUGGAUCAUACAUCAUGAUGAACUCCAUCAACCAUGAACCACCAAACAGAAAACUCCAUCAAACCACGAAUGGGAGAAAAAAGGGUGCGUGUGAAGAUGGGGGUAUUAAGGACUAGUCAUGGUCAAUGCAUGGGACUGAGUGGCUCGUAUUCCUAAGUCAUCCCCUCCAACAAAAGUCAGUAAUCAUUGCCUUUUUCUCUUUAUCUUCAGCUGCAUGCAUGCAUGCAUGGGAUGGGAUGGGAUGGGAAGCCGCUGGCUCUUCUUUCCCCCAUCUCUGCUACUAUAUAGUGACACUUCUUUUAUCCACACUGCACACACAACCAUACUCUUUCGUGGACCUUUGUGGUAACGGCGUCCUGGGUUGAGUUGAUACAAAUACUAAACUUUGGGUUUGCUAAAUGAUUGAGUGGCUAGGCCUAAGCCACCACAAACACUCCUUCUAUUGUUGUGUGGACAUAUAAGCCACUACCUUUUAUAAAAAUAUACAUUGGGUUUCAAAGUAGUUCCCCAUGUCAAAAACCCUUAUAGUGAUUCGCUAUGAUUCACCCUGUGGGCGGAGAACCAUGAGUGUCUAGGUGAUUAUGGAUGAUUGGGGUACAAGACCCUUCAAAGAUAGGAGCACGUGAGAGGAAAGAAGAUAGUUCAAAGUAAGGGUAUAGAGGGAGAAGAGGGAGAGAGUGAGGGGGAGAGAGAGAGAUUCUCAUUCCUUACACUUGUGUUGUAGGUCCUUUUUAAGACUUCAUGUGUCAUUUCCAUAGUAGUUUUAUACUAUUUAGAGCUUAAUCAACAUACUGAUGUCUUUUUCAUGUAGGUAUAAAUUAGCAUAUUAAGACAACUGAUGAAUGUAAUGAAUGAACGAAUGAAGUUGAGGGCUCGUAAGGUUUUGGCCUCACAGUUGCCCUUAAUUCCCCAAAUAACAUUUUAGUCAAAAGUGUUGUGCGGCGAAAUUGGUAGGGCGUGAGAUCAGCCAGGUAAGUAUAAGAAUAUAUAUUAUUUAGAAUGAGAUUACGGCCUGGAAUAGCAUGAAACAGAACCACAAAAACAGCUCCGACAAAAGGAUUCUCUAUAUUGAAUGGAAAGCUGAUGCUGCCAUGUCUGUUAACUUUGUAUAUAUGUCAGGCAACCAAUUAUGAUGUUGACUCAUUUCUUGUGCAAAUCCAAAUGCAUAUAUAAUAAUAAUAUCAUCAUCCAAUGACAUUAGAGCAUAGGAUAAAAGGGAGUGAAUUACUG
RNAcentral lists this long non-coding RNA (1620 nucleotides) under Gossypium raimondii (Peruvian cotton). Its description in RNAcentral is "long non-coding RNA (GRAI_LNC004993)". Lineage: Eukaryota; Viridiplantae; Streptophyta; Magnoliopsida; Malvales; Malvaceae. The record is from RNAcentral.